Molecule: long non-coding RNA, 247 nt
Filed under: Homo sapiens (human)
Lineage: Eukaryota; Metazoa; Chordata; Mammalia; Primates; Hominidae
Description: HSALNT0052205
Source: RNAcentral
AGUAAUGAACAAAUUUGAAAUACAACAUAUAUACCUGCUCUAUGUACCUCACAGGAUAAUUGUGAAGAUCAGCCAAAAAGAUGAGUAAAUGAUAUAAAGUUGACAAACUGUAAGACAAUUGAAAUACCAUAAAAAACACCAGGCUGGUCUGGCUAGAAGAAGAAAUCUUGUAUUCAGACUGAACAAAACCCUAGGAUCCCAGGACAAGCAGGUGCUCAGUGGGAGAUACAGGACCUUCUUGGGCAUC